This 497-nucleotide ribosomal RNA is filed under the name uncultured bacterium. RNAcentral describes it as "partial 16S ribosomal RNA". It matches the Rfam family "Bacterial small subunit ribosomal RNA", at positions 29 to 507 of the family's 1533-position model. The record is from RNAcentral.
AAUGAACGCUGGCGGCAUGCUUUAUACAUGCAAGUCGAGCGGCCGGACGAGGUGCUUGCUGCUCUCACGUUGGCGACGGACGGGUGAGUAACAGGUACAUACCCUGCCUAUAAGACUGGGUUGACUUCGGGAGACCGGAUCUAAUACCCGAUAAUAUAUUGAACGGCGUGGUUCAUUAGUCACCGCCCGUUUUGCUGUCACUUUUACAUGGUUCCAUGCCGCAUUAGCUAGUUGGUAAGGUAACGGCUUACCAAGGCUACGAUGCGUAGCCGACCUGAGAGGGCGAUCAGCCACACUGGAACUGAGACACGGUCCAGACUCCUACGGGAGGCAGCAGUGGGGAAUCUUGCGCAAUGGGCGAAAGCCUGACCGAGCAAUGCCGCGUGUGUGAUGAAGGCCUUCGGAUCGUAAAACUCUUUUAUUGGGGAAGAACAAAAGUGUAAGAAUCUAUGGGUUUCAUGACGGUACCCGAAGAGUAAGCCCCGGCUAACUACGUG